Molecule: ribosomal RNA, 488 nt
Filed under: uncultured bacterium
Lineage: Bacteria
Description: bacterial SSU rRNA
Rfam family: Bacterial small subunit ribosomal RNA
Source: RNAcentral
GACGAACGCUGGCGGCAUGCCUAAUACAUGCAAGUCGAGCGAAUGAAGAAGAAGCUUGCUUCUUUCUGAUUUAGCGGCGGACGGGUGAGUAACACGUGGGCAACCUGCCCUGUAGAUUGGGAUAACUCCGGGAAACCGGGGCUAAUACCGAAUAACCCAUUUCCUCACAUGUGGAAAUGUUAAAAGACGGUCUCGGCUGUCACUACAGGAUGGGCCCGCGGCGCAUUAGCUAGUUGGUAGGGUAACGGCCUACCAAGGCGACGAUGCGUAGCCGACCUGAGAGGGUGAUCGGCCACACUGGGACUGAGACACGGCCCAGACUCCUACGGGAGGCAGCAGUAGGGAAUCUUCCACAAUGGACGAAAGUCUGAUGGAGCAAUGCCGCGUGAGUGAAGAAGGUUUUCGGAUCGUAAAACUCUGUUGUGAAGGAAGAACAAGUACGAGAGUAACUGCUCGUACCUUGACGGUACCUCAUUAGAAAGCCACGG